RNAcentral lists this long non-coding RNA (980 nucleotides) under Capra hircus (goat). RNAcentral's name for it is "lncRNA (ENSCHIG00010030755.1)". The record is from RNAcentral. Lineage: Eukaryota; Metazoa; Chordata; Mammalia; Artiodactyla; Bovidae.
UUUGGCACCCAAACGCCAUUUGGAAAGCACCGUUCUAAAUUUAUCCUCUUCUGAAUCAUCACUUCUGAUAGAUGCAGUUGCCUUGUUUGCGUUGUGAUAUUUGAUUUUGUACAGUGUUCCUUGGGCUAACUUUUGAUAUUUUGCUUUUUGUUUAGAAUUUGAAAGUAGUAUUCUUUGGAAGGAGACGCACAGAGAAUACUUGAGGACAACCAAAGCCGAAUUAGAGGAUAUAACGUGUUUUAUUUUUUUAAUUAGAAAAAUAAGGAAUUACAGUGUGGUUUUUCCCCCCCUUUAACUUAGAGGAACAAGGAGUGUACAGAAAUUUGAAGUGUUCAAUAAAUACCUGUGUGGUGAAGAAACGGAUGAAUGGGACACGUGCGUGCGUGCGCGCGCGCGCGCACACACACACACGAGCUGAAAGCAUUUGAAGUCCUUAUCUGCUGAGCUCCCCAGUGAAAUUUCCCUUUUUAACACUUCUGACUCAUUCAAGCCUUUUCCAGAAGGAAGGUAAUUACGUGUUUUUGUUUUAAACAGUUCUGUUUUUGUACUGCUGGUGGACAAGUGAGGAAUAAUCAGUUUUAACUUUUAAGUGAAAUGAGUAAUUAAGCCCAGAAGGUACUGCUGACAAAAUUGGAAUCCUGUCUGUCAUUUAAUAGAGUGCCAUGUUGAAUUUGCUUUGCAUGUUGCUGGGGGAAAUAUGCUAGACAAUACACUCUAAAGUUUUUUUUAAUGAUUGAGAGAAUUAGGAUCAUUUAAAAAGGUUGAAAAACCAGGUGGCCAAUGUCUAGAAAAUUGUUUAAUUAAACCUAAAGCAAACAAGCUAAGGUCAUUGUGAUGUGGUAGUUUUUAAGAAUAGCAAUUUAGAAAUUGGUAUGUUCCUUACAUAGUGUAGAUGCUGUUGUUUACCUUGAAAGAUUUGCUUGUGUGAUUCACUUAUUUGAAAGUUCAGACCUGUUCUGUGUCUACAGCCUCUCUGUGUG